RNAcentral lists this ribosomal RNA (483 nucleotides) under uncultured Rhodococcus sp. Its description in RNAcentral is "bacterial SSU rRNA". It matches the Rfam family "Bacterial small subunit ribosomal RNA", at positions 898 to 1382 of the family's 1533-position model. Lineage: Bacteria; Bacillati; Actinomycetota; Actinomycetes; Mycobacteriales; Nocardiaceae. The record is from RNAcentral.
AACUCAAAGGAAUUGACGGGGGCCCGCACAAGCGGCGGAGCAUGUGGAUUAAUUCGAUGCAACGCGAAGAACCUUACCUGGGUUUGACAUACACCGGAAAACCGUAGAGAUACGGUCCCCCUUGUGGUCGGUGUACAGGUGGUGCAUGGCUGUCGUCAGCUCGUGUCGUGAGAUGUUGGGUUAAGUCCCGCAACGAGCGCAACCCUUGUCUUAUGUUGCCAGCACGUAAUGGUGGGGACUCGUAAGAGACUGCCGGGGUCAACUCGGAGGAAGGUGGGGACGACGUCAAGUCAUCAUGCCCCUUAUGUCCAGGGCUUCACACAUACUACAAUGGCCAGUACAGAGGGCUGCGAGACCGUGAGGUGGAGCGAAUCCCUUAAAGCUGGUCUCAGUUCGGAUCGGGGUCUGCAACUCGACCCCGUGAAGUUGGAAUCGCUAGUAAUCGUGGAUCAGCAUGCCACGGUGAAUACGUUCCCGGGCCUU